CCCUUAGAUGUCCGGGGCCGCACGCGGGCUACACUGAAGGAAUCAGCGUGGCUUUCUCCCUGACCCGAAAGGGUUGGGAAACCCGUUGAAUCUCCUUCGUGAUAGGGAUUGGGGCUUGAAAUUGUUCCCCAUGAACGAGGAAUUCCCAGUAAGCGCGAGUCAUAAGCUCGCGUUGAUUACGUCCCUGCCCUUUGUACACACCGCCCGUCGCUACUACCGAUUGAACGGUUUAGUGAGGGCCUCGGAUUGGUCUCGGCCCGCUCUUUACCGGGCGGCGCCGUUGGUCGAGAAGACGCUCGAACUUGAUCGUUUAGAGGAAGUAAAAGUCGUAACA
This 334-nucleotide ribosomal RNA is filed under the name uncultured eukaryote. Its description in RNAcentral is "partial 18S ribosomal RNA". It matches the Rfam family "Eukaryotic small subunit ribosomal RNA", at positions 1470 to 1796 of the family's 1831-position model. The record is from RNAcentral.